AAGAUACAAAGUCGAAGGACAAUAGUUCUCAGCUAUACGAAUCAAUGAAGACGCCUGUAAAAGAAAAUACUUCAAAGUUAGACCACAGCAGGAAAAUAAAAGAUAAGAAAUCAAAAGAUAACAGUACUCAGCUAUACGAAUCGAUGACGACGCCACCACAAGAGGCUAGCAAAGCUGCGAAAAACGAAAGUAUAGACAUGUAUUCAAGUGUUAUAUAGACUUAAAUCAAAUUAUUAUAGUUCCUAUUUUAUUUAGACCUGAUAUUAUGCUCGAAUCUCAUUGAUCAAUCAUACAUCAACGGAUCAUUAAUUCAGGUUUUUUGCAACUAUAAUCGUCAAAAACUCUUCUACUAACAAGCAAACUUUUGUAUUUGAUUAUCUGUACCAAUCAUCC
Molecule: long non-coding RNA, 393 nt
Organism: Mytilus trossulus (common blue mussel)
Lineage: Eukaryota; Metazoa; Mollusca; Bivalvia; Mytilida; Mytilidae
Exons: 4
Source: RefSeq, a predicted model, not a curated record